RNAcentral lists this ribosomal RNA (382 nucleotides) under uncultured eukaryote. Its description in RNAcentral is "partial 18S ribosomal RNA". It matches the Rfam family "Eukaryotic small subunit ribosomal RNA", at positions 592 to 976 of the family's 1831-position model. The record is from RNAcentral.
CAAUAGCGUAUAUUAAAGUUGUUGCAGUUAAAAAGCUCGUAGUUGGAUUUCUGGUUGAAGCGACCGGUCGGGCGUUGAUUCGUCUGCACUGGAGUCGGUUUUGGCCAUCCUCUAGGAAAGUGCGUCUGGUAUUAAGUUAUCGGGCGUAUGAUCCUGGUCUUUUACUGUGAAAAAAUUAGAGUGUUUAAAGCAGGCCUUCGCCUUGAAUACAUUAGCAUGGAAUAAUAAGAUAGGACUUUGGUCUAUUUUGUUGGUUUGCAGACCGAAGUAAUGAUUAAUGGGGAUAGUUGGGGGUAUUUAUAUUCCGAUGUCAGAGGUGAAAUUCUUAGAUUUUCGGAAGAUAAACUUAUGCGAAAGCAUUUACCAAGGAUGUUUUCAUUAA